GAGGCAAAUAUGAUUUCAUUAAUAAUAGUGGAAUUACAAGGCCCACUAGCUAGUAAUAUACAAGCCUAGCAGGCAACAGCAAGCCCAAUUAAGAUCUAAAAGAAAAAAUGAUCCUGGACUGUCCAAGCCCAUGACAGUUGAAACCCUAGUUGGAGUUGGCACUGCACUUGAGCUAGAGGAGCUUGGACAAGUCACGAAGGCAGCAAACGUAAGUCACCAUAACAAGCAUCACCCAGAGUCUUCAAGAGAGACGAACUGGAGCUAGGAACCAAAGCAAAAUGAAACUCACGACCAUGGAAAUGCCAAAGACCACAUAGGAGCUUGGCAGAACUCUCAAGCAGUCUCAUCCUCUUGUAACCGUUUAGGGACAGAAUAACUAUUCAAGGUGCCUAAAAUCUCUGAGAUAACCAACCUUGGCUCCAUGCUCUCACCUGCAAAAAUAGAGUAUAGGAAACACCGAUCAACCACACGCAGUAGACCCAAAGCAAAUCCUUUCUAUUUUGCACAAAUCUACCACUUAAAAGAACAAUAAAAAUGAAUUAUUUACAUCCCAAAUGAGAGGUGGGGAGGGGAAACCCUCACCUUCUCCUGUUCGGAAGGGGUAAGGGAAGCCUCUUAUAGACAGAAAAAACGCUCUAAGAGAAUUGGGAGGAAGGAGAAACUGAGAAGAAACUAUAUCUCUAAAAUCCUAGAGAAAAAGAG
This 702-nucleotide unclassified non-coding RNA is filed under the name Hevea brasiliensis (rubber tree). Lineage: Eukaryota; Viridiplantae; Streptophyta; Magnoliopsida; Malpighiales; Euphorbiaceae. The record is from RNAcentral.